GUUUAAUUAGUAUAUAAAGUACUUUUAAUUUCCAAUUAAAGAGAUUUUUUUUAAAAAUUAAACA
This 64-nucleotide transfer RNA is filed under the name Ixodes angustus. Its description in RNAcentral is "tRNA-Gly". Lineage: Eukaryota; Metazoa; Arthropoda; Arachnida; Ixodida; Ixodidae. The record is from RNAcentral.